CCCAGGGAAUCUGGCAAAAUUCCUCUCUGCAGACAUGGCCGGAAAACUUCGGGGACCAUCGACAAGUAUCAAACCGCCGAAGAGGACGAAAAUAACCCCUGGAUCCCGAGAGUGCUCAGAGGCCAAGGAAUUAUAACCACUUUUCAACCAACGCAAACACGUUUACCUAUGUGUCAAGUUCUUUGGGAAACAGACUUUGAGAAAGCCAUCUGCCUACAGGAAGUUUACUGAUGAGUCACACUUGUAAGGGAGUAAGACAAGGAGAAUUAGGCAGAGGAGAGAAUUUAACUGUGAUGCAGUUAUAAUUGAGGCCUCAGCCCAUCCUACUAGGGGCUGUGAAGCUGGGGGACUCUUCCAAGGCAUUCCAAGGCAAGGGUACCUGGCCUUUAUACCCUAACAUGGAACAAAAGACUUGGCUAUGAGACCUCAGCAACCUACGUUUCUGGCAGCUAAGGAAAUGAGUGUCUUUGUCCUGAAGGGUGGAUUUGGGUGGUAGCCAGUGUCUGCCGCAGUAUUACUACCUAGUAGUCCCUUCCAUGGCCCCCUUUAUCUCAAGAUAAACAUAGCUUUCAUAGCCAUUCCACCACUCUCCUCCAUCACCCACCACACACAGCCUGUGGUCUCUUGCUCCUCUGCAGAAGCACACACCCACCUCUAAAGGACCCUUCAACAGUUUCCACACCGUGAUGUUGUCUGCACCCAUAUUUGCACACCUUGCUCUCCACCCAGUUGGAGCUGCUUAGUUCAUGUUUGUGCCCAGAGCACUAAGCAGUCCUGGAAUAGGCUGGUCAAGACUCAAUGACCACAGGGAGUAUACACCUCCUUCCCUGAAGGAAGUGGCGCCCAGCCCUCCCCACCCUGUCCCACGGUGCAGAUGCUCUUUCCUGUUGGGAAUAAAGUACUAGAGACUCAGCUUCCUUCCUUUCUACGUGUGGCCUUGGGGAGGGC
Camelus dromedarius (Arabian camel) is the source of this 948-nucleotide long non-coding RNA. RefSeq lists it as uncharacterized. The transcript is spliced from 3 exons. The record is from RefSeq and is a predicted model, not a curated record. NCBI's taxonomy places the organism in Eukaryota, Metazoa, Chordata, Mammalia, Artiodactyla, Camelidae.